GAUGAACGCUGGCGGCGUGCCUAAUACAUGCAAGUCGAGCGAACAGACGCGGAGCUUGCUCCUCUGACGUUAGCGGCGGACGGGUGAGUAACACGUGGAUAACCUACCUAUAAGACUGGGAUAACUUCGGGAAACCGGAGCUAAUACCGGAUAAUAUAUUGAACCGCAUGGUUCAAUAGUGAAAGACGGUGUUGCUGUCACUUAUAGAUGGAUCCGCGCCGCAUUAGCUAGUUGGUAAGGUAACGGCUUACCAAGGCAACGAUGCGUAGCCGACCUGAGAGGGUGAUCGGCCACCCGGGAACUGGGACACGGUCCAGACUCCUACGGGAGGCAGCAGUCGGGAAUCUUCCGCAAUGGGCGAAAGCCUGACGGAGCAACGCCGCGUGAGUGAUGAAGGUCUUCGGAUCGUAAAACUCUGUUAUUAGGGAAGAACAAAUGUGUAAGUAACUAUGCACGUCUUGACGGUACCUAGUCAGAAAGCCACGGCUAACUACGUG
Molecule: ribosomal RNA, 497 nt
Filed under: uncultured bacterium
Lineage: Bacteria
Description: partial 16S ribosomal RNA
Rfam family: Bacterial small subunit ribosomal RNA
Source: RNAcentral